AUUUCAGGGCGACUUUGGGAACACAAUAGUCGACUCGCCGACGUUCCCUUAGACGCGUUGCCAUACGUCGUCACCCAUAGAAACGGCUUUCCGCGGGGCAGACUCCAAGUCUCGCCUGUGUGAGCGGGCAGGGGUAGCAGGAAAGGCUGUUUUUCAUUUCCAAGAGAAAACCGUCACCCCGCCCACCUCGAACCUCCUCCCAACAUCUCAGGAUAGAAACGCCGCGCUCAGGUGAAUGAGAAAUGUUCUGAUACAGGAAAGAGGAGUUCGUGUUUCUUUCAGAAGGUGACCGUUUUCCUCCUUCUGAGGUCACGAGCUGUCCGUCCGAUGCCCAGAAUUCCGAGGCCUGAUGUGGCGUGUUUCCGGUAGCUGGGCUCCUCGGAGAGCUGUGGGAAGAGGCGCGGGCGACCGGGGGCGUCAGCGAGCCCUGUCUUCGCCUGCCUUCGCCGGCGUGGACUCUUCCCAGUGCCCGUCUUCCCCCGCGAAGUAAUAGUGUCCUGUAUUUCCUGACUGUAAGAAGAAUAGUGCUUUUAAAAAAUGCCUGCUCCCUGUAAUAGCAGCAGUAGUUCGAGAGUACAUACAUGUUUAUAAAAGAAACUUAAACUCUCAUUCUUGCCACAGUGGAUAAUACUAUUAACAUAUUGCUACAUAAAUUUAGAAUUUUCAUACAUACACGUAAAGGUGUUUGGUUUUUUAAAACAGAAAAACGUAAGCGCGUUAUCUCCCAGUAAUGUCUUUGCAGGUAAAUUAAAAUAAUUACAUAUAUAUUUAUAUUUAUAUAUAUAUAUUUUUUCUAAGAGAUGGGGUUGUUGCCCAGGCUGGUCUUGACCUCCCGGGCUCAAGUGAUACUCCCACCUCAGGCUCCCAAAGUGCUGGGACUGUGGGCAUGAACCACCGGGUCCAGCCUACAGAAUCAUUUUUAAUGGCUGUAUGGAUAUCAUAAUUUGUUCAACCAGUCCCUAAGUUGUUGGACUUUUCAGGUAUUGACAGCUUUUCAGGUCUACAAUCCUAGAUGAAUAUUCUUAUAUGUAAAUCUGUACAUGUCCCUGAUUAUUUUUUUACAAUAAAGUCAUAGAAAUAAAAUUACUGGAUCAAGGAAAAUGCACGUUUGUAAGACUCUAAAUGAUAUUACCAGACCCUCCCCUAGAAACCUAUUUACUACUUUUCCAUUAACAGUAUGAGAAGGAAUAUGCUCUCUGCAUCUCCUUGCUAAUCUUAGAUAUUGUCAGUCUUCGUGAUCUUUAUCAUCUCUUUAAAAAAGACUCGUUUUAAUUUGCAUUUUGUUGCCUAAGUGUAAAACUGAACAUCUUUCAUAUAAUUAUUGGCUCUAUUUUUGUGAAUUACUAGUUCAUGACUUCUGCCUAUUUUUAAAAUGAAAUAUUCACAUUUUAGAAAUUACAAGUGCUUUUUGUAUGUUAGAAAUAUUUUUAAAAUGAAAUAUUCACAUUUUAGAAAUUACAAGUGCUUUUUGUAUAUUAGAAAUAUUAACCUAUGAUUGAGAUAUUUACAGAUAUUUUUCCUGUUUUUCAAAUUCAUCUUUUAAUAUCACCUAUGGUUUUUCGUUUUUUUUUUUUACUGAAGGAAGUUUUUAAUUUUUAUGUAGAUAUGUCUAAUGAGUCAUUUCCUUUGUUUCUAGCUUUGAUGUCAUGGUUACCUGUAUUUUCUUCUAGCAUUUUUAGAGUUUUAAAAAAAUAAUUUGUCGGGUGCAGUGGCUCACGCCUGUAAUCCCAGCACAAAUGCUAUGCAUUUACAUUGCAUUAGGUAUUAUAAGUAAUCUAGAGUGAUUUAAAGUAUACAGGAGGACGGAUGUGGGUAGGUUAUAUGCAAAUACUACAUUUUAUGUAAUGGACUUGUUAUCCGCGGGGGUUCCUGGAAACAGUCGCACACAGAUAUCACGGGAUGACUGUACUAAAUGUCCGUAUGUACUUUUUCUGCCUCAUUGAUUUAUCUGUUGCUGGGCAGUAAUACUGUUUUAACAUACCUUUAGAUGAUUUAAAAAUUUCUGAUGGGAUAAAUCUCUGCUUACUAGUCUUUAAGAAUUGUCCUUAAAAAUAUAUUUAAUACACAUAAAAUAGAAUUUUGUAAUAUAUGUAAGUUUAAAAGCGUAAUAAUAUGAAGCCAACCUCAACCUAACCUAGAACAUUACCAAUAGUGUAUAAAUCUGUGCUCUUCCCAGGAUGGCAGAGGCUAUCCCUGCCAUCCUCUCCAGAGAUAUAUUAUUUCUUCCAUGGUAACUUUAAACUUUGUCAAAUUAAAAAACAAUUGUGGCCGGGUGUGGUGGCUCAUGCCUGUAAUCCCAGCACUUUGGGAGGCUGAGGCGGGCGGAUUACCUGAGGUCGGGAGUUCGAGACCAGCCUGACCAGCAUGGAGAAACGCCCCCCCAUCUCUACUAAAAAUACAAAAUUAGUCUGCUGUGGUGGCGCAUGCCCGUAAUCCCAACUACUCGGGAGGCUGAGGCAAGAGAAUCACUUGAACCCGGGAGAUGGAGGUUGCGGUGAGCCGAGAUCACACCAUUGCACUCCAGCCUGGGCAACAAGAGCGAAACUCUGUCUUAAAAAAAAAAAAAAAUUGUAAUUUUGAUUGCGAUUGCAGUACUUUUAUUGACUAAUUUAGGGGAAACAGACAUCUUUAUAAAAGUAAUACAUACUUAUGUAGUUUCUACAAAGUGUUAUUUGUGUUAUUUAAUCCACACAACUAUUAUCACCCUCAUGUUACAGAUGGGGUAACCGAGGCAUAAAGAAAUUGAAUAAUUUGGCCAGGCGCGGUGGCUCACGCCUGUAAUCCCAGCACUUUGGGAGGCUGAGGCGGGCAGAUCACGAGGUCAGGAGAUCAAAACCUCCUGGCUAACACGGUGCAACCCCAUCUCUACUAAAAAUACAAAAUAUUAGCCGGGCAUGGUGGCACGGACCUGUAGUCCCAGCUACUCGGGAGGCUGAGGCAGGAGAAUUGCUUGAACCUGGGAGGUGGAGGUUGCAGUGAGCCGAGAUCACGCCACUGCACUCCCACCUGGGUGACAGAGCGAGACUCCAUCUCAAAAAAGAAAAAGAAAUUGAAUAAUUUGUCCAAAGUGAAGCUGCUAAUAAGUGGCAAGGUCAAAAGUCAAAGCCAGGCAAUUUGACCCCAGAGCCUGUCCUCUUGUCCUGUUGCCUUUCCACAAUAUGGACGUGCUCAUCUAUUUAUAAUGCACAUGCCAGGCAGUUUGCUCCAGCACUUCCCCACAUCCCAGUUGGCAUCCUUAUCCUUUAUUAACCCGCUUCUCCCUUGCCAUAGCUGAUUGGAAUAGAGGCGGGUAGAAAACUGAUUCAAGCUGGUCCAAUCAGAUUCUCUUUCCUGGAAAUGUGCAGUUACAUGGUUUUAACUUGUCUCUUGACCUAGAAAGUAAGGGAAAAGGAGGGAGAGAUGUUUGAUCUACAUGUAUGCAGUACAGAGAAAGCAAGGCUGCAGAAAGAAGCAGAUUCACAGAGAAGCAGUUAUGAAGUCCUGUGGCCCCAGAGGGGUAUGAUGGAUUACCUGCCCAUGGUUCUGGGGCUUUCCAGGUCCUAGCUUGCCACUACUAAGGCUCUACUGCCCUGUCCACUCUUAGGGAUCUCCACAAGGUACCCCCUCUCCUCCUUCAAAUAGACCCCUUUUUGGCCAGACGUGGUGGUUCAUGCCUAUAAUCCCAGCACUUCGAGAGGCAGAGGCAGGGGGAUCACCUCAGGUCAGGAGUUCGAGACCAGCCUGACCAACAUGGCGAAACCCUGUCUCUACUAAAAAUACAAAAAUUAGCCGGGCAUGGUGGCACGCGCCUGUAAUCCCAGCUACUCGAGAGGCUGAGGCGGAAGAGUCGCUUGAACCUGGGAGGCGGAGGUUGCAGUCAGCCGAGAUCGCACCACUGUACUCCUGCCUGGGUGACAGAGCACGACUCCAUCUCAAAAAAUAAAUAAAAUAAAAUAAAAUAAAAUAAAAUAAAAUAAAAUAAAAUAAAAUAAAAUAAAAUAAACCCCUUUCAAUUUAAGCUCACCUGACUGACUUUUCUUUGUUUUGAAACUAAAUAUGCCACCUGAAAACAUGUGGUCCUCCAUUUACCCAAGUUUUCUUUUAAAGUUUCCCAGUAGCAUUUUCUUCACAUAGAUCCAUACAUUUCUUGUUCAGUUCAUUCCUAAAUAUAUUUUAGGUGGAUUUUUUUUUUUUGCUCUUUGCAAUAAUUUCAGUUUGUCAUUCCCCCUUCACAUCUUAAUCUGCAAAAAUUUGGCUUUCAUCUGUUGAGACUACCAAAUGUCAAUGGCUUUUAAAUGUGACAUUAAUCUUCCAAAUGCAUUCCAAAAUAAUGUUAUCCACUAGAUAUAUUUUAUAGUUCUAUGCUUUGAAAUUGUUCUGGCGAUGAUUCAUAUGAGGAUGACGAUGAUUCAUCUGAUGUAAGUGAGCCACAAGGAUCCCAAAGAAGUAUAGAAUUUCCUAUAACCUGAUUUAAAAAGAAAGUCUAACAUAUGAAUAGGAACAUUGAAUUUCCAACACAUUCAACUGAUAUUAAAAUAGAUAAAAUGAAGAAAACUACUUUCAAGACUGAUUUUCACAUACAAAACAAUAAGAUAACAGAGGGUAUAAUUUGGAUAAAUAUUUAGAGUAGACUAGAUAACAGAGAUUAAGAGAAAUUCAUAUCUCAUUCUUAGCAUAGGGACAUAAUCCUGUAUCCAAAUUCUUUCUUGCCAGAUGUGUUUCAGAACUGAGAGUUAUCAGGAUUUUAGACAGGAAUAUAAUGCAUAUCCCAUAUAUUCUGUAACAGCCCAGCAGGAUCUGGAGCAGAAUCUUGUAAUCAAACCAAAAUAUGCAUGCAAAAAAUGCAUUAGUAUUAACCAUAAGUAGGAUAAACAAAGGCUAGAAACAGAUACACAUCUGUUCAGGUCAGAUUUUGCUGCUAAAUGAGUUUGCCACGAACUUAUGAAAAACUUCAGGUUUCUACAGUUUUUUUCUUUGUUUUGAAAUUUUAGACUAUGAUUUGUAGACCUCUACAAGCAAAUAUGUUCAGAUUUCAACAUCUGGCCAGAUGUGAGUCAAAGAGUUGUUUUCAAGGCUUGGCUGUGUUAGAUAGUCUUGUGGUUUGGGGUGUUUAGUCUGAAGGCAAAGAGUGCCCUUUUUUUUUUUGAUACAGAAUAUUGCUCCAUUGCACAGGCUGGAGUGCAAUGGUGCAAUCUCAGCUCACUGCAACCUCUGCCUCCCUAGUUUAAGUGAUUCGCCUGCCUCAGCCUCCCAAGUAGCUGGGAUUACAAGCGCCCGCCACCACGCCUGACAAAUUUUUGUAUUUUUAGUAGAGAUGGGGAUUCACAAAGUUGGCCAGGCUGGUCUCGAACUCCUGACCUCAGGUGAUCCACCUGCCUUGGCCUUCCAAAGUGCUGGGAUUACAGGUGUGAGCCAUCACGCCCAGCAAGAGUGCACUUUUAGAAGAACAAAAUACAGACUUUGAAGCAAUUAUUAAAAAAAAAAAAGGUCAAGUUUUCUGUUUGUUUGUUUGUUUGUUUGUUUUUAAUCAACUUGAAUUCUUGACCUUUGUUGUCCAUCAUUAUUUCAGUGUGGUGUUUUGGUUGAAAUGAACUGCAAUAAACACAAAAACUUCCGAGUAAAUCUUAACUAAAAAAACCUUAAUGUAUUUUUCCUUAAACCUAUCAAUCAAGAGAUCCUUGCCUUGAUGUUUUCAUUUCUUAUUUCUAGUACAUAGGAGCAUUUCCUUCUAAAUAUCCUAUGGCUGUACAGAUAUUGCUUCAGUUGAAUCUAUUAAAGUGUCAAAAUUAAGGAAUUUAUUCAGUCAUCAUAUAAAUUGAGUGCCUAUUCUGUGCCAGACUCUGUGCUAGGUGUUGAGGAUACAGUCUGGUGAGCAAGAAACAUUUAAAUAAGAUUUUACAGUAGAGUAUGAUAGGUGAUGAGGUAAGUACAGUGUGUCAUGGAACACCAUGUAUUGAGAUGAGGGAAGGACUAAAGGUUAAGUAAUAAAUCAGGCAGGUGAAGAUGAGGAGGGAAAUUUUAAAAUGUUCUAAGACAGUUAUUUUCAAAGUGUGGUCCAUGAAUCAGCAGCAUCAGCAUCAUCAGGGAACUAGUCAGAAAUUCAGAUUCUUGACCCAUACCCCAGACCUACUGAAUCAAUAACUCUGGAGAUGGACCCCAGGAAUCUGUGUUGUUGUGGUUUUGUUUUUUGUUUUUUGUUUUGUUUUUUGUUUUUUUGAGACGGAUCUCCCUCUGUUGCCCAGGCAGGAGUGCAGCAGUGUGAUCUCUGCUCACUGCAACCUCUGCCUCCUGGGUUCGGGAGAUUCUCCUGCCUCAACCUCUCGAGUAGCUGGGAUUACAGGCACGUGCCACCAUGCCCUGCUAAGUUUUGUAUUUUUAGUAGAGAUGGGGUUUCACCAUGUUGGCCAGGCUGGUCUUGAAUUCCUGACCUCAAGUGAUCCGUCCACCUCCGCCUCCCAAAGUGCUGGGAUUACAAAAGUGAGCCACUGUGCCUGUGCUAUAUAACAUUCUUGAAGUAACAAAACGAUAGAAAUAGAGAACGGAUUAGUGGUUGUCAGGGGUUAAGGAGGGGGUGGGGGUUGAAGGGAAGUGGGUGUGGCUAUAAAAGGGCAGCAUGAAGGAUUCUGGGGUAGUGGAACUGUGGAAAUACUCUGUAU
Molecule: long non-coding RNA, 6635 nt
Filed under: Homo sapiens (human)
Lineage: Eukaryota; Metazoa; Chordata; Mammalia; Primates; Hominidae
Description: non-protein coding lnc-FAM161A-1:5
Source: RNAcentral